CAGAUAAAGCGAAUAGAUCUCAUCCACUGCCCGCUACUUUCGAUUUAGCUGUUUGGGCGUCAACCAAUACUUUAUACGGAUGGUAUACCUGGAAAACCAGUGCUACAUACUGUCCACGAGCAACGUCAUCAGAGUAUACGAAAAAGGCAGCAACACCAAGCGGAGAGUUAUUUCAAGUCGUUGGGACUCAGUUUAUGUGGGCACAUAAAAGAAAGCCAACACCGUUUCAUAAAUAUUUUGUAAGAACGACGGACUUCACAGACCCUUGUCCAAAGACUGAGUGGGGUUGGUUCCUAUGCUUACCCGCUGGUCAAUGGGGAAAAUUCGGUAUGGAUUCUGGAAGCCCUUUGCUGCGAACUUUUGCACUUUUAUACCAAAAUUCUAUAUACGAUUAUCGACUUGAAGGUUUAGUGGGAAUACAUACACUUUCCAUGCAUUUGCGCUCGAAUGAUAUAACUUUAUAUUUCAUUAAUUUGGAUACCCAUCGAGUAUUAGAUUUUCUGUAUGAUGCCUACAUGGGAAAACUUCCUUACGAAUAUCUAGAUUAUAGAUUCAACGAUUCCCAAAUGCAAGCUCCUCGGCCAAAGCCAUGGGCAAAA
Long non-coding RNA from Leptidea sinapis, 599 nucleotides. RefSeq lists it as uncharacterized. The transcript is spliced from 3 exons. The record is from RefSeq and is a predicted model, not a curated record. NCBI's taxonomy places the organism in Eukaryota, Metazoa, Arthropoda, Insecta, Lepidoptera, Pieridae.